RNAcentral lists this long non-coding RNA (398 nucleotides) under Pan troglodytes (chimpanzee). RNAcentral describes it as "long non-coding RNA NONPTRT017048". Lineage: Eukaryota; Metazoa; Chordata; Mammalia; Primates; Hominidae. The record is from RNAcentral.
GGCAUGAGCCACCACUCCCGGACAUGGAUGCAUCUCUUACAGAAGCUUGGACCCAAUUUCAGCCUCAAUGAAAGAGGAAGGAAAAGUGAACUGAUAAUGAAGCUAAGACAACAAAGCCAAGAAGUACCUCCAGGACCAUCCCAGCCCCUCGUUUUACAGGGCCAGACAGACAACUCCAUGGGCAGAGGAAGGAAGAUGGAGAGGCAGAGAGCGAAUGUGAAGGCUUCAGUUCGGAGGCAGAGACAGGGAUGGAGCGCACUUGGCCUGAUGCUGGUCAUCUCCUGUGCACUGAGCUCAGGCUGGGACAGGCUCUGGGAGAGUGUGCUGCCGCUGGCUCAGAAGGCUGAUUCCCUUUCCGAAGUCAUCACUCAUUAGGAGGAGAAUCCAACAAAUAUUUA